This 1541-nucleotide long non-coding RNA is filed under the name Anser cygnoides (Swan goose). RNAcentral describes it as "lncRNA (ENSACDG00005009668.1)". Lineage: Eukaryota; Metazoa; Chordata; Aves; Anseriformes; Anatidae. The record is from RNAcentral.
GUUGGUGUUUGCUGUUGUUUUUGCUAAACUUAAAACCUCUGUAUAAAAGGUAGAUGCAAGCAUUUUCAAAGCAACUUACUUCCAUUUUGUAAUAGCCUAUGAGAUCAGUCUUGAACAAACAGAGGAAGGGAGGUUCUGAAUUAAAAAGCAUUUUUACAGCAUCCAGUAAUGCAAUGGCUGGACGACCACGAUGUGUCAGAUUAACUGGGUGGACACACUGGAUAUUAUCAACAAUUCUGCUGCUGUGGAGUUACCAGAUCAGUGGACAAGGACAAGAUAUUAAAAGCUGACCAAAGAACCCAUGCAGCAUAUCUGUGGGAUAAGUUAUGAAGAUUUUGCAGCUAAUCACCAGGCAUGCAAAAAGGUUUUCUGUGAUGUAAAUUGUGUAGAAAAAAGUGAGUUGUUGUUUUAAAGACUUUGUUCCUUUAAAAAAGCUCUCAUACUGUAGUCGCUGGCUUGAAAAAAAAAAAAAAAGUAUUUGAAGAAUUAUUGUGGUAUUGUAUUAAAAUGCAAGUAUGGUACAUGUUUGUUUUAUGAAAUAUUGAUGAAUGGUGAAGCUAUUUCUGCUGUGCACAUUGGAAAGAAAUGCUGAAACAGUAACUUUAAAGAAUUUGUUUUGUGUUCACUUGUACUGUGAAAGGUACUUUAGAGGCUUCUGAACAUAUUUAGAAUUUCUGGAUGAUGAGAGGCAUUGGGUAUUGCACAUUUGAGUUGAUCUUAUGGUUUUGUAUGAGUAGAUGCUUACGCACAUGUUUAGUCUUGGUCAUAUGAGCAUUGACAUAAAUUCCAAGCUGGCAAGUGUUGCCUUGAAACAAAGCAAUGGAUUAGAAAAUGCUAGGUUAGUACUACUACACCUCUCGUGGAGGAGAAGUUUGGUCAUGUCUCCUGUUUGUUUUCUGUAAUUAACAAAACACAGCUUUAUUGCAUUUAAGGUUUAAAUUAUCUAAAAUGUUAUCUUCUCUGUUAAUGUAAAAAAGUGGCAAUAACUUCUUGAUGGGGACAAAAGAUGUGAAACUUGAGCAAUGCUAUUUUGUUUUAAUUCGAAAUCAUAUGGUUAGGUUGUUUUUGUGGCUUGUGUAUAUUAAGAAAUUCAUUUAAUUAGGCCCAAAGUUACAAAGCUGGCUAUGUUUCAGUGUUGGUAGACUUAUACUGUGCUGUGAUAGAAGUUUAGUAUAUCCUUUUGAUAAUACAUACUGCAACUGCUGAUGACUACUUAAACCUUCAAGUGAAAUGUGAAUCCUUAAUCCUCUAGCAAUUAAGUAGUAAAUUAAAAGCAGGUAACAUACUUUCUCAGUAUAAUGAUAUGUACAGGGUGUUUAGAAGAUAUGAAAUUUCUUUAAGUUACCAGACGUAUCUUUGAAUUUUGCUGUGGAUUUCUAUUUUACAUUUUUGUUUGAAGUAAAAGAAAAAAAAAUGUAAAGCCUUGCAGGAAACUGAAAAGUAAAGGAGAACUCAAGUAAUUUGAGUAAAAUUGUGAUGUGUGAAUAUUCAGAGUCUACCAGGACAAUAAAAUGAAGAAAUAAUUAUCCUGUAUCUGGGCA